Long non-coding RNA from Oreochromis aureus, 2804 nucleotides. RefSeq lists it as uncharacterized. Lineage: Eukaryota; Metazoa; Chordata; Actinopteri; Cichliformes; Cichlidae. The record is from RefSeq and is a predicted model, not a curated record. The transcript is spliced from 3 exons.
GGUUACUAAGGUUUAAAAGUGGUCUUCCAUCCCAGAGCCCUGCCGGCCAACACGGACUACAUCUUGUUGGAGUUUUACUCACGUCUGUGGGCCCAGUGUCUGGGAGUCACUGUUCACUGGAAUAUGCUUCCACUCCCCUCUCCAUCGGGGUGUGACACCUGUCUCUGCCUGAUCCAAACCAUCAUGGAACUGCAAAUAUGGAUCUCCAUCUGCCAAGUUAGAUAUCAAGAAUAGUGCAUAGAUUUGAUAAUUACAGUGGGUACUGUCACCAGUACCUCAACAGAUGCAGAGUUGGACUCCAUUAGUUGUGUUUUCCCACCUGUGGCUGUGGCUGCUCAUCCUCAACACCUGCUUUCCUCUGCCUAUAACUCAGACAGGCUGGGCUUUAUAGGACCUUUAAUGCUUUCUGGGAUGGGAAACAUGCUUUUGGUUUAGAUGGGCUCCACUGAAACAAAUCUGGGACUGCCAUACUGUCCACUAACAAAUCACGCAGUGUACACCAUACCCAAAAGACUCCAGCAAGUAUUUCUCCACAACUGCCCACACGUGUCAACCAAUCCAUCAGUGAUUAGAAAAAAAAGUAGAUCCUAGUUCCUAUGAUCUCACUUCCACUCUGAACACUGAUACAUGUUCAACUCUGAUAAUAUUUUUGAUAUUCCUGUCCUAAGAACUAAAAGUCUGCUGUGUCAUCCAAUUUAUGAAGUAUUCACGUACAAACUAAAUUUUUAUUUCUACCUCCAUACAGCCUGGUUAAGUUUGGUUUUCUUGGUGUUAGAUGACUUCAUAGUAAACUGGUUUUAUAACUUGAAAUGAGCUUGUGAGGUGAAUGAUGCGUGCAGGUUUGAGGCGCUGGGUUUUAAAGUAAAGUGUAAAACCCCUGAUGUCUGUGCAGAUAUUGACCACCCUGCUAGGACUAGGUAAGCUUUUUAUUUAUCAUCCAUGGUUCUUUUGUGUGAUUGAAUCACUUAAGCUGGUGAUUUUAGUGCCCAUGUUGACAAUCGUACUGACUCAGUCACUACCAGUUCCUCAUGAAACUGAAGCCAUGUGAUUCAAAACAGCAUUCUGUUGGGCCUACAUGUAAUCGUGGGCAUACUUUGAACUUGGUGUUUACACGUGUCUUCAGUUUUAACUCCAUAAUUUUAUAUUUUAUUAUUUAUUUCGACAGACAGGUACAGUAUCAGAAAGUGUUAAUCGUUAUCUAAGAAAGCAACAGGCCUUUUAAGGUUACACAGAGCAUCCACUUGUUUGUGUUGGACACUGAAAUAUGUUGAUUAAAGUGGAAUUACCGAAGAAAGUCAACAUUUCAAAGCUGACGAGAGGCACCCAGAAUGGCUAACUGAAGAAUGGACAGUCCUGAUGCCUAAGGAUCUCCAGAGGGGACCAGUUCCAUUCAACUACCAGCCAAUAACUUUCUUAGCACAACAUGGAAGCUCCUGUCGCAUCAUAGUGGUGAAGAUGAACAGGCACAUGGUUCAGUACAUGACCAGGGCACAGAAAGGAAAUGGCAGGAAUAUCAGAAGAGUGAAACACACCUGGAUCCUGGAAUGGAAAACAUUCAGAAAUUGUAUCCGUUCUGUCACUAGUUAGCUAUCAUAAACUGAUUAAAGUCUACAACUACUGACGCAAGAUGGCACUGCGCAUGUUCGACAAACUUUAACUAUAAACACUUACUUCUCAAAUCCAACUUCACAGACAGAGUUAUAUCUAUGACAGGUUUUGGGAACAGGGAUCCGUGGCGUAAAUAAGCCUUUGUAUAUGUAGUGUUUCCUGUUCACCUUCUGCUUUCAUCUGGAAAGCAUCUGAACCAGACGGUGUUUCCGAAAAGGUGCUCAGGGCCAGUGCUGACCAGCUGUUACAGGUCUUCACAUGAAUUUUCUGUUGCUUCUUGACACAGGCUUUCAUCCCAGCCUGCCUGCAGUCCACUUUACCCCCCAAAAUAAUCUGCCAACAGCCUCAAUCACUUCUGCCCCAUUGCACUUGCACCUAUCAUCACUAAGUGCCUGGAACGUCUGGUCCUAACCACCGAGGCCAACCUUCCUCGCUUUCUAGACCCCUGCCUGUUUGCCUAUGGAGCAAAUAUGUUGACAGAGGACACAAUAGUCAUCAUGCUUCAUACCAUGUGGAGCCAUUUGGAACAUCGAGGGAGCUACGUCAGAAUGCUCUUCAUCAACUUCAGGUUCAUCUUCAACACAGCUAUCCCCAACUGCAGAAUAGAAAACGCUGAAAACGCUCUCUAAGACCAUGCACGAACACUCGGGAAUUGAUAAUCCGCUGGAGGGCUGGAUGACUUCGGUCUUCGGACAGUGGAAAGGGUUUGUACUUUCAAUUAUGCUUUCAUUGGUUGUGCUGGUGGGCAUUUUGGUGACCUGUGGCUGUUGUCUCAUUCCUUGUGCCCGAGCUCUGUUAGAAAAGGUGAUUACGAAGGCGGUGGACUCGGGAGCAGAAGCCCACAUGCCCAUGAUGCCCUUGAUGGACAUGGGAGUCGCUGUGUGGGACGAGGAGUGACGCACCUGAAAGUAUGGUGACCUCUGGUCAGCCAGAGGUCAAAAGGGGGAAUGAGGGGUCUGACAAAAUGCUUUUGCCAUUAUGUAAUCUGUAAUUUCCACAUAGUAUGCUGAUCAGUGUGAUUUUCAAUGAUUAAACUGUAAUAGAGACGAGCAAACAUAGUGGCAGAUCUGAGAGGAAAAACCCUUUGUUAUGAAAAUGAUUUUAAUCUUUUAUACAUGAUUGCAUUUGAGCUUAUUAAAGAGCUGUGGCUCCUGGUCCAGUGAGGGUCAGAAACUCUUGGCAGGCGUUAAUGAUCA